This is a non-coding RNA of Saitozyma sp. JCM 24511, 129 nucleotides long. Lineage: Eukaryota; Fungi; Basidiomycota; Tremellomycetes; Tremellales; Trimorphomycetaceae. The record is from the annotation of a GenBank genome assembly.
GGUCGCGUGGCGAAGUGGUUUAUCGCGCUGGUCUUACAAGGCAGAUUCCCCCGCCGUUUGGUCCUGGACUGGCGAGAGGAAGCUACCCCGACACACCAGAUGUCCUCGGUUCAAACCCGAGCGCGAUCA